GAUGAACGCUGGCGGCAUGCCUUACACAUGCAAGUCGAACGGCAGCACGGGGCAACCUGGUGGCGAGUGGCGAACGGGUGAGUAAUGCAUCGGAACGUGCCAUUGAGUGGGGGAUAACGUAGCGAAAGUUGCGCUAAUACCGCAUAUUCUGUGAGCAGGAAAGCAGGGGACCGCAAGGCCUUGCGCUCUUUGAGCGGCCGAUGUCAGAUUAGCUAGUUGGUGAGGUAACGGCUUACCAAGGCGACGAUCUGUAGCGGGUCUGAGAGGAUGAUCCGCCACACUGGAACUGAGACACGGUCCAGACUCCUACGGGAGGCAGCAGUGGGGAAUUUUGGACAAUGGGCGCAAGCCUGAUCCAGCCAUGCCGCGUGAGUGAAGAAGGCCU
Molecule: ribosomal RNA, 385 nt
Filed under: uncultured bacterium
Lineage: Bacteria
Description: bacterial SSU rRNA
Rfam family: Bacterial small subunit ribosomal RNA
Source: RNAcentral